UGCUCUUUGUGUCUCUGGUCUCUAGGUGCUGACUCCACUGUAGCUGGUGUCAGAGACAAGCCCCCUCCAGCUUGGAUCAGGAACUUUUAAGAAGCUUUUUCUGCAGCCUCCCUGAGCUGAGCCAAAUGAGCUGGAUGAGAGAAAAAGGGCCUGCAGCACCGUUGGGCAAGCUCUCUUCUUGCCGUGGGCCGAUGCAGGCCCAAGUAGUUGCAAGGGGAUGGGCAAACCAAGGAGAAAUAUAAAACAUCUCUGCCUUCAACUUAGCACGAGCACAGAUCCACUCGACUCCCAUCAAACUUAGCUUUUGUUUUCCUGGCUGGAAGGUUCGUACAAGAUAAAAUUCUCUGCAGAGCUGGGAUCUGCUGGAUGCAGUCAAAAGGAGAGUUCAGCCCUGCCUUUCAAAGGGGAUGUUCGGUUAAAGCCAAACGUAGAGGAGAGGGGAGUUAGUUUGCUUGAUAUGAAUUUAAGGAGUGUUGUCCAGUGUGGCUCACAGUCCAAAUCAGCUCUGAGACGUUCAUAGUUUUGACUUGUACUUGUCACUCUCGUGUCUCCCCCCAGCCUGAUCGCAGCUACUGGCCUUGUGACUGUUCUGCAGGUUUGAUGCACAAGGCCAGGUUGUCAAAGAGACCUCCCUCAACAUCCUUAGCACGGAAAUACUCCUGCCGUGCCUUGUUAAUACCUAUGCACCUUCUUACGCCUGUGAAAGCUGCUUGUUCCUAAACUGGGUGGCUUUCUCAGCCAGCAAAUAGGCUCAGCGAGUAGGGCAGAGUGGGCCGAUUCAUCAGCUCUCCAAGAGGACCUGCAGCUGCGCUGGAUCCUAAACUAGACCCAGCUCUCCCGCCUGCACGCAGAGCCUCGUCAUGGUAACCUGUAACAUGCCUUGGCCAGCUCUGGAGCCACCGGCUGGCCAGAGGCUGGGAGCUGGCUGGUGGCUGAAGCAGAGUGUUGUUCCCUGGGCGCCGUUGCUUUUCGCUGGCCAUCGCAGUGCUCCGAGCAGGCAGCAGGAAGGGGCUGUUGCAGCAAAUGAGUGGUGCUGCUUGUGUUGCAGAUCGAUAUCCCAAAUCCUGCUAGAAGGGCAGCAUUAGGAGAACCUGGGAUUUAAAAGCUGGCCGAGCUGGUUUCCAUGGAGGUUCUAGCUUCAGGUCCCAAGCUCACUCCUCCAUGCCCAGCCUGACAAGAGGCAGAGAGAGCAGCUGUGGCAGCUACCUCGCCUCCAGGGCCUUCCUGGGUAACAACCACGGAGUGGCUAACCCAAGUGGCCCUGGCCCCGAGGCUUCCCCUGCUUCACCGUGAAGGCCAGCCAGCCCGGCGAGGGGACUUCAGGGUACAGGAGGGACAGGCAACAUGGCAAGGGCCUGCGAGCCACACUCACUUGGAGAGGGAAGUUAUAGAAACGCCUUGGCCUCCCUCUCCCCGUCAGCCUGAGCCCCAGAGCGGCUGCUCCUCUUCUCGCCAGCUUAGCUGUUUUCCUUUGCAGACCUCAGUGGCUUCUGCCUGGAUUUUGGCUCGUUUCAGUCAGGAAAUAGCCGAUUCAUAACAGCAGCAACCACAGCGAUCCGCAGAAGUCAUGCAAGGCGCAGCCAGCAACUUCUGCACUGCCAGAAGGGCAGCGGGGGGCGGGGGGAGGGAAGAGGCACUUGCAGUCAAUGCCUGAAAGGCCCAGAUGGAUCUGCUGGAGGCGGGAAAGAGCGGAGCAGGGUGGAGCUGGUCCCAAGCUUGCAAGAUGCAUAAGGGCAGCAGUAGCACUGGGCUUUCUGCCCCUGCGGCAAAGGUUUUGCAGGCGCUGCUCUGUGGGCAGAGGGCCUGUUGGUUCAGAACUGUUUCCUCCAGCUCCUCUGGCUGAUGGAGGCAACAGGAUGCCACAGGAAAAGCUCCUUCUCCCCCUCUCCUCAGAAAAGAUGACAGGCCCGCGUCCCGGCUGGAGGAGCUCAGUGUGGUCUAGGCAGUCGUGGGGAUCUAUACCAGCAGGAAGCAUUCUGCUGGGGAGGGGUGAGGCAGGGCUACAGGCAGAAGUGCGGCUCAUCACGUUGCAUUCCUCUAGCCCCUCCUGCCCGAGAAUCUCAAAGCACUUUGCGACAAUUACUGAACUAGGCAGGCAGUUGAUCCCCUGCCUGGGGAAAUGGCGGCACGGAGGGAGGGAGGGGCUGUGAAAUGAUUUCAGGGUCUGGCAUACAGUAUAUAUGACAGAUUCUAUAGACAGAUUCUUUGUCCUGUGCUUUACCCACUAGACCGUGCUUCCUCCACACGGUUCCCUCAUGAUGUUCCUGACGCUUUGGCGUGCCUCUCCAAAAAGCCUCAUCAGCUCAUUUCUGGAGUUGGCAAAGCUCCAAAUGUCUGGCUCCGGUGCUCCUCUGAAUAUCUCUACAUGUCUCUCUCUCCCCUUGGGCUUGUGCCAAAGUGUUCCCUGGGUUGGGUAGGGAAUGAGACUCGUACAACCUGGGAAGAGCAGAGAGGUAGGAAAACAACCACAAGAAACAAAAAAUAGCCCCCAAAGUUACCCACACUUCCAUAGCCACGCAGAGUGGUUCAGUUCACAUUCAGGUCAAAUUUCCAUGGGUGGGUCUUGUAGCCAAGCUGGCCUGUCCCAUGGGAUUUGGAACUUUUCUUUGCUCGUUUCACUGGGCUGAGUCCGCGUGGGUUAAAAAUAAACGUUAUUUAUGGACAGAUGAUUUAAUAAUAAUCACUGGAGUUUCUUGCCCCUUCUCUGAAGUACCGAUACUGGUCAUGAUUAGAGGUAGGAUACUGGGCUAGAUGGACCCACGGGUCUGAUCCAGUCUGGCCGCCCCUCAACUCACACUUGUCAGAGAGCACGCAGUACAUUCUGGUGUUUAGGGCUGUGUGAUAAAAUGUUCCAUUUAUAACGCACUUUUCUUCCUGAAGCAUGGACCCGGCUAGAUAAACACAGCUUCACUACCCCUGCAGCCACUUCUAGGCUGGGGGAAAGCUGCCAUCUCGCAACAGGACAGGGCAUGGUAUUGUGGCAGGGGGAAUACUGAUCAGAAGCACACACUUUCUCUGGUAGGUAUGUUCUGGAGACCUUCAAUCUCCUUUGGUUUGAAGGGCUCAUUGGACAGAUCCACCCACUUGUCACUUUCUAGGGUUCAGUCCUUGCUUCCCUUGGAAGAACAAAGGGAUGUGGUCGCUCUGGUAGGAUUCAAACGUGUAGUUUUAGGGAAUCCAGGUGUUUCCACACACAAUGCAUUGCCACCUAAAUGUCACGUCGGCCAUUUUGUAGGCUCCCUCAGCAGCCGUUCGUCACACAGCACGGUCUGAAUCUCCCAUGGAAAGGGUGGUGCUAAUGGCCGACGAACAGUGUGUUUGUCUACAAAGCGGAGCAGGCUGCCAGCUGCUAAAGAUUUCCAUCCCCUCUCAGGCUGCGUGACAAGUUACUAAACAGUAACACUGGGAAACUAAUUGCUGUAUCCAAUGCAGCCUGGCAAAGGGGUCAGAGAUGCCUUUCGCUGCCUGAUGCCCUUGGAAGCUCCAUAUGUAGCCAGAAUGGAAAGCCAGGAGCUUCUGACAGGGACAGGGACAGGAGGUGGGGAGGGCAGGACAGGAGGGUGCUCAGAAGGACUCUGAUGGGAGACAAGUCUUCAGGGACUGCACUUCUCUAUGGAGAAAAUUGAAACUGUGCCUGAGAGAGUCAUUCCCUGCUGGUCAGAUCCAAGGGAAUUGCUGGGAAAGUUCAAGAGAUCACACAGUUGGGCUAGGAGAGAGGUAGGAGUGGGCAGCUCUUACAUGCCCUGCUCUUUGCAGGCAAAGGUCUAGUUGGGUAGGAGAUGCCCAUUGGACUGGUGCACAGGAGUCCAGUGGAAAUCCAUAGAGAAUUACGUGCUUUCAACGGAAUGUUUAAAUCAGGGCAUGGAAUCCUGGAGCCUGCUACAAUCCACUCUUAAAUUCUCGGGGGCAGUUUGACGACUCUCUGAAGUACAAAAGCACAGAGCCAAAUUCUAAGGGAUCAGCGCCAGCUCCCACCUGCUGAGAAUUGGGCCCAAGGGCUAAAAUAACAUCGAAGCACUUUUCAUCCUCCUGUUAGGUUGCUCAUACUACAUGCGGUGAGAGCAGGUCCCAUCCAGUUGCUCUACCCCUCUGGCAUUAGCACUAGGCAUGGAGCCAAAUCUAGGUGCAAAACGUUGGUCUUGUGCAUGGUAAUAUUUUCAAAAGCCCCUAAGGGAUUUAGGAGCCUAAUUCCCACUGACAACAUCUCCUUGAAUU
This is a non-coding RNA of Pelodiscus sinensis (Chinese soft-shelled turtle), 4215 nucleotides long. NCBI's taxonomy places the organism in Eukaryota, Metazoa, Chordata, Testudines, Trionychidae. The record is from RefSeq and is a predicted model, not a curated record.